GGGGUCACGUGGGCGGGGUUUAAACUCACCUCCUCUGGAGGGAGUGAGGAGGGGGGUGUGUGGGGGGGGUAGUGCGCGGAGACGGCGGCGCGCCGAGGGGGUGGGGGCGCAGUCGGGGUGGCGCGCGUCGAAGGCAGUAAAUGAGGAGGGGUGCGCGAGUCGGCGGGCUCCGGGUUCCGGCUCCCGCCAAGAGCUGUCUUUUGCAAACUAGCAAGUUCCUUCCACCUUAUGCAACCCAGCAACCCACUUCUCCAAGCCGUGCGACACUCACGGCGCAUCUCAGCGGCUUUCCUUCCUGCUCCCGCUGGGGGCCCCAGAAGAGGGGUUUGCGAGGCCUGGCUGCACUGCCCUGCUCCUCUGGAAGCAGGAGGAAGCGCGCGGCUGGAGGCACAGGCUGCAGUUCCCAGAGCCCAGGCUGACGCCAAAGUGGGAAAAAGGCGGGGAAACCAGCUUGGCGCAGCCGGACGUGCAUCCUUCCGAGCUGCCACUUCGGAGAAGCCUUUCGUGCACCUCACCUGAAAGACGGUCCCACUCGAGGUGGGCUAGGGGUUUCAGGGGGAGACUUUCCAUGCAGAGGUGCCUUUUGGGUGCCGUGGGUCAGGUAGGAGCUGUCCUUUCAGCACCCGUUGCGCAGCCGCCUCCCCAAAUGCUAUCGAAGCCCCCACCCCCAACUCCUCUCGGGUGGCUCCCUUAAGGUCCCUGUAUUCCCAAACCUCCAGACCCCGCCACAGUAUGGUGGAGAGCGGCCGUCGAGGUCUACCAGCACUCACUUCCCCCUACACUCUACCCCUCUCGGAGACAUUUUGCCCAGCUGCCCAACCCGACGCGGCCACCAAGCCUGGGCACUGCAGCCGCAGCUGGCGAAAUCCCUCCUUCCACACUGUCAAGCUGGCUGCCUUUCACUUGCGCGAGGAAAGGAGGGUGGAGGAAAGCGCCCGGGGAUUAGGAAACAAGUAGAGGAACAGGUGGUGUGAUGGCAAAAGGGCUCUUCCGGUGCCCCCUAGUCCAAAGCCAGGGUCUUGGAGCUAGCCAAGUGCACCUGAGGGAGGGUAGGCAAUUGCAGCAGCAAAAGAAGGUGUUCUUCCGUUGCAGUUAGCAAACAAGU
This 1105-nucleotide long non-coding RNA is filed under the name Homo sapiens (human). Its description in RNAcentral is "non-protein coding lnc-ZNF683-3:1". The record is from RNAcentral. Lineage: Eukaryota; Metazoa; Chordata; Mammalia; Primates; Hominidae.